RNAcentral lists this ribosomal RNA (489 nucleotides) under uncultured bacterium. RNAcentral's name for it is "partial 16S ribosomal RNA". It matches the Rfam family "Bacterial small subunit ribosomal RNA", at positions 30 to 507 of the family's 1533-position model. The record is from RNAcentral.
AUUGAACGCUGGCGGCAGGCCUAACACAUGCAAGUCGAACGGUAACAGGAAGCAGCUUGCUGCUUCGCUGACGAGUGGCGGACGGGUGAGUAAUGUCUGGGAAACUGCCUGAUGGAGGGGGAUAACUACUGGAAACGGUAGCUAAUACCGCAUAACGUCGCAAGACCAAAGAGGGGGACCUUAGGGCCUCUUGCCAUCGGAUGUGCCCAGAUGGGAUAGCUAGUAGGUGGGGUAACGGCUCACCUAGGCGACGAUCCCUAGCUGGUCUGAGAGGAUGACCAGCCACACUGGAACUGAGACACGGUCCAGACUCCUACGGGAGGCAGCAGUGGGGAAUAUUGCACAAUGGGCGCAAGCCUGAUGCAGCCAUGCCGCGUGUAUGAAGAAGGCCUUCGGGUUGUAAAGUACUUUCAGCGGGGAGGAAGGGAGUAAAGUUAAUACCUUUGCUCAUUGACGUUACCCGCAGAAGAAGCACCGGCUAACUCCGUG